CCUAGAAAUAAAGAGAAACUUACAUAAAAUUCAAUACAAAAAGGCUUUUGGACACACACUAAACUUAAGGAAAAAACACUAAAAAUACCGUAAAAUCACGGUAUAUCAUUCAUCACGAUAUUUUAAAGUCAUUGGUGCCUGUCGAAACUUUUUAGGCAUUUUUUUUGAUUUUUUACGAGUGUUACUUAUUUUUCGGCCAUUUUGGGCAUGAACAGAAUAUUAGGCAAUUCUUGGGCAAUUACAAAGAGAAGGAAUUUCUUGUUCUCUUAUUCUUCACGAUAUUAUAUUGUCAAUGGUGCAAGUCAAAAUUUAUUUUAGGUGUCUUCCUAUUAUUUGUGUAUUUAUUGAUUUUUUGGUCAUUUUACAACAUUGACUUAAUAUUCGGUCAUUUUCGGGUAGUUACCAAAAGAAGUAAAAAAAUUUCUUCUAUUCGUCAUGAUAUUCUAAGGUCAUUGUUGCAAGUAGGAUUCUUUUUGAGGAAUUUUUUGUAUAGUUUCUAUGUGUUUCUUAAUGUUUCUGCCAUUUUGGGGGAAUUUACAUAAUAUCGAUCAUAUAAGGCAGUUACUAAAUAAAAUAAAAAGUAUUAUCUCAUAUUAUUCACAAUAUUAUAAGGUCAUUAGUGCAACUCAAAAUUUUUUGAGGCAUUUUUGUAUUGUUUAUGUUUGUUUCUUGAUUUUUAGCUAUUUUGGAGUAUUUACUUAAUAUUCAAGUAUUUUCGGGUAGUAAAGAAAAGAAGUAAAGUUUUGUUUUCUUAUUUCUCAAGAUAUUCUAAGGCCAUUGGUGCAUAUUGUUUAUGUGUAUUUCGUAAAUUUUUUGGCCCAUUUUAGGGAAUUUUAUCUAAUAUUCAGUAAUUUUUGAGUUGUUACGAAAAGAAGUAAAGUUUUGUUCUUAUUCAAAAGUCAUUUGUGAAAGUUGAAGUUUUUGAAGGAGUUUUACUGUAUUUUUCAUGUGUGUUACUUAAUUUUUAAGCCAUUUUGGACAUCAACGUAAUCGAUAAUUUUUGGGCAGUUACGAAAAGAAUAAAUGCUUAGUUUUCUUGUUAGUCAUGAUAUUCUAAGGUUAUUUCUGCAAGUAAAAAAAUUAAGAUAUUUUUUAUAUUUUUUGUGUUUUUUUCCCGUUCAUUAUGGGUCAUAUACAUAAUUUGCAGCCAUUUCAGAAAAGAAUUGAAGUUUUAUUCUCUUAUUCGUCAAGAUAUUCUAAGAUCAUUGAUCCAAGUAUCAAUGUAUGAGACAUUUUGUAUUGUUCAUGUGUGCUUUGUGUAUUUAGGCCAUUUUGGGGACAUUUGUGUAGUAUUUUUCCAUUCUAGGGAAGUUACAAAAAAAAGUAAAGUUUUCCUCUUAUUGUUACGAUAUUCUAAGGUCACUGGUGUAAAACAAUUUUUUUGAGAAUCUUUUAUGUAUUUUUUUAUUUUUCGUCCAAUUCAGGCAUUCACUUAUAUUAGGCAAUUUUUGGGCAUUUAUUAAAAGAAGUAACAUUUCUUUCUCCUAUUUUACACGAUUUUCUAAGGCCAUUGGUACAAGUCCAAAAUUUAUUAGGCAUUUAAUUUCUUGUAUUAUUUAUGUGUGUGAUAUUCUGAAGUUGAAAUUUUAUUAAGGCAUUUUUUUAUUGUUUAUGUGUGUUUCUUGAUAUUUCAAUCAUUUUUGGGUAUUUAAGUAAUAUUCGGCCCUUUUUGGACAGUUACAAAAAGAAGUACAAUUUUAUUCACUUAUUAGGCCCGACAUUCGAAGGUUAUUCGAUCAAGCCAAAAAAAUUAUGAGGUAUUUUUUGUGUUAUUUAUGUGUGUUUCUUAAUUCUCCAUCAUUUUGGACAUAUAUGUAAUAUUCGAUAAUUUUUGGGUAGUUACGAGAAGAAGUGAAGUCUUAUGCUGUUAUUCGUCACAAAUUAUAAGGUCAUUAGUGUAUGUAAAAAUAAUUUGAGGUGAUUUUUUGUAUUAUUAUGUGUAUUUAUUAAUUUUUAGUCAAUUUUGGGGCACUUACGCAAUAUUUGUCCAUUUACGAGCAGUUACGAAAAGAAGUAAAGUUUUUUUCUCUUAUUCAGCAAGAUAUUUUAGGGUAAUUGGUGAAAAUCAUAAUUUUUUGAGCCUUUUUUGAGUUUAUGUGCGUUUCUUGAUUUUUGGUCUUUUCAAGGCAUUAACAUAGUAUGCGGUCAUUUUGGGCACUCACGGAAAUAAGUAAAGUUUUGUUCUCUUAUUUGUUAUGAUAUUCUAAGGUCUACAUUUGUGCAAGUAAAAAAUGGGAAAUAGUUGUAUUAUUUAUGUGUGUUUCUUGUUUUUUCGCCCAUUUUGGGCAUUUAUGUUAUAUUCUGCCAUUUUCAGGCAUUUACCAAAAGAAAUAAAGAUUUGUUCUCUUAUUUAUCACGAUAUUCUAAGGUCUUUAAUGCAAGUCAAAAAACAUUUUACACUUUUUUGUAAUGGUUAUAUGUAUCUCUUGAAUUUUUUUUUGGCAAUUUUAGGUUAUUUAAGUAAUAUCCGGUCAUUUUCAAACAGUUUUAAAAAGAAGUAAUGUUUGGUUUCGUCACAACAUUCUAAGGUCAUUUGUUCAAGUUGAAAUAAUUUUGAGGCAAUUUUCACACUGUUCAUGUCUUUUUUUUCAACCAUUGUGGAGCAUUCACGUAAUAUUCAGCUAUUUUCAGUUUGUUAUGAAAAAAAUUGAAGUUUUAUUUUCUUAUUUAUCUCAAUAUUUUAAGAUUAUUGGUGCAAAUAAAAAACAUUUAGCGGUGAUUUUUGUAUUGUUUGUGUGUUUCUUGAUUUUCGGUCAUUUUGGGGUAUUUACGUAAUAACCGGCCAUUUUUCUAGCUGUUACAUAAAAAAUUUAAGUUUUGUUCUCUUAUUUUUCACAAGAUUCUAAGGUCCUUAGUGAAAGUCAAAAAAAAUUGAGGUGUUUCUUCUAUUGUUUAUGUCUGUUUCUUUAUUUUUCGACCACUUUACACAUUUACAUAAUAUUUUGCACCUUAUGGACAAUUAUGAAAAGAAUUAAUGUAUUAUUCUCAUAUUCGUCACAAUAUACUAAGGUCAUUGGUGCAAGUUGAAAUUAUUUUGUAUUGUUUAUAUAUGUUUCUUGAGUUUCGAUCAUUUUGGGGCAAUGCGGUAGUACUGAGCAAUUUUCGAGCAGUUAUGAAAGUACGUGAAGUUUUAUUCUGUUAUUCGUCAUGAUAUUCUUAAGGUCAUUCGUGCAAGUCAAAAUAAUUUUGAGUCACUUUUAGUACUAUUUAUGUGUGUUUCUAGAUUUUUUGGUCAUUUUAAAUAUUUAGAUAAUAUUAAGCCAUUUACGGUCUUUUACGAAAAGAAGUAAAGUUUUAUUUUUUAUUCGUCGUACUAUAUUAAGGUUAUUCGUGCAAGUGAAAUAUUUUUUGAGAUCAUUUUGUAUUGUUUAUGUUUUUUUAUUUGUCGAUUGUUCUGUGGAAUUUACACAAUAUUUGGCCAUUUUCGAGUAAUUAAGAAAAGAAUUGAAGUUUUAUCUUUAUUUGUCAUGAAAUUUUAAUGUCUUUGGUGCCAUUCAAAAUUAUCUUGAGGAUGUUUUUUGAUUGUUUAUGUGUGUGUUUUGAUUUUUCGAUUAUUUUUGGGCAUUUGUGUAAUAUUUUUUUAUUUUUGGAUAGUUAUGAAAAGAAAUAAAAUUUUGUUUUGUUCUUUAUCACGAUAUUCUAAGGUCAUUAGUGCAAGUCGAUAUUUUUUAGAUGUUAUUUCGUAUAGUUAAUGUGUGUUUCUUGAUUUUUAGCCAUUUUGUGGCAUUUACGUAUUAUUCGGCCAUUUUUUAGCAGUUAUAAAAAUAAAAAAAGUUUUGUGAUGUUAAUCAUCACUAUAUUCUAGGAUCAUUGGUGCACGUCCAAAAAUUUUGAGGUGCUUUUGUUGAUGUCUACGUGUGUUUCAUAAUUUUUUGAUCAUCUUGGCAUUUACAUAAUCGGCCAUUUUUUGGCAGUCACGAAGAGAAGUAAAAUUUGAUUCAAUUAUUUUUCACGUUAUUCUAAGGUCAUUGGUGCAUGUCAAAACACAAUUGAGGAAUAUUUUAGCAGUUAUUAAAGAUGUUAAUUUUGUUCUGUUAUUUGUCACGAUAUUCUAACGUUAUUGGUGUAAGUAGAAUGUUUUUAGACAUUUUUUGUAUUGUAUAUGCAUGUUUCUUGAUUUUUCGGCAAUUCUAGGAGUUCACGUAAUAUUUGACCAUUAUUAUUUUCUUAGGAAAGAAGUGAAAUUUUGUUCUCUUAUUCGGCACAAAAUUCUAAAGUCAUUAGUACAAGUCAAAUUUUUUAAAAGUGUUUUUGCAUUGUUUAUGUGUGAUUUUUGAAAUUUGGGGUAUUUACGUAAUAUUCAGCUAUUUUCGCGCAGUUAUGAAAAGAAUUUUUUUUUUGCUAAUUCAUCACUAUAUUCAAAUGUCAUUGGUGCAAGUCGAAAUUUUUGUGAGCGGUUUUUGUAUUAUUUAUCUCUUUUCCUAGUAUUCUGGGUAUUCACGAAAUAUUAAGCCCUUUUGGACAGUUACAAAAGAAGUACAGUGUUGUUCUCUUAUUCGUCACAUUAUUCUAAGGUCAUUAAUGUUAGUCAUAUUUUUUUUGAGGUUUUAUUUGUAGUGUUUGCGUGAUUCCUAAUUUAUCGGUCAUUUUGGGGGAUUUACAUAAUAUUGAUUUUUUUCAGGCACUUUCAAAAAGAAGUAAUCUCAUUCCUGAACAAUAUUCUAAGGUCAAUUGUACAAGUCAUAAUUUUUUUGAGGUGUUUUUAUAAUGUCUAUUUGUGUUUCCUGAUUUUUCAAGGCAUUUACGUAAUAUCCAACCAUUUUCAAGCAGUUAAAAAAUGAAAUAAGGUUAUUUUUAUCUUAUCAUUCAUGAUAUUCUAUGGUCAAUGGUGCAAUUUGAAAUUUUUUGAUGUGUUUUUUGUCUAGUUUAUGUGCGAUUUUUGAACUUUCGGUCAUUUUAGGGGGAUUUAAGUAAUAUGCAGCAAUAUUCGGGCAGUGACGAAAUGAAGUUCAGUUUGUUGUCUUUCAUCAUGAUAUUCUAUGGUCAUUGGUGAAUCUGUCUAAAGAUGAACGCGGAAGUUUUUGAGCAAGAAAUGCAGAAAAGUUACCACCUACAUAGCCUGUGACAGUUCGUCGUGCCUGUGAUGGUGCGUACGUGGCAUCAUAGUGAAGAUGUUGAAGUAAGAUGGGGAAGUCUGACCAAGUGUGGGAUUACGAAGUUCAUGAUGGACUGUCGUAGCCAUGACAGUCCAUCCUGCUGGUUCGUCAUGAUGAUCAAAGAGUAAUCCCAGUACCGAAUUUCCAAGAAGUAUACAUGUUAUGGAAUGGAGACCCUCGACGAAUUUUCGUGCCUUAAACGGUUCGUCAUACCUGUUCGGCGAGGGUAAUGAAGAAAGCAGCUGAAGGAUCUUUAAAGUAUAGGACGACGGAGUCCAUGACGGCUCGUCCUGACCAUGACGGCCCAUCACUAGGCUCGUCGAUCAAGCCGUGUUUUGAAAGAUUUUCAGCAAUUAGAGUCUUUCUUUUAUAAGGUUUUUUUUAUAAAUAGUUUGAAAAAACCUCGUUUUUGGGGUUAGACUCUCUUAUGGUUAAACUCUCUUAUCGUUGGACUCUCUUAUAGUUGUGAGAUUCUCUUUUGUUAUACUCUUUGUUAGUAGACUUUGUGAUUGAUAUAAUUUUAAAGAAUUUUUAGUCUU
Solanum lycopersicum (tomato) is the source of this 5635-nucleotide long non-coding RNA. RefSeq lists it as uncharacterized. NCBI's taxonomy places the organism in Eukaryota, Viridiplantae, Streptophyta, Magnoliopsida, Solanales, Solanaceae. The record is from RefSeq and is a predicted model, not a curated record.